GGAGGCAGCAGUAGGGAAUCUUCCGCAAUGGACGAAAGUCUGACGGAGCAACGCCGCGUGAGUGAUGAAGGUUUUCGGAUCGUAAAGCUCUGUUGUUAGGGAAGAACAAGUGCAAGAGUAACUGCUUGCACCUUGACGGUACCUAACCAGAAAGCCACGGCUAACUACGUGCCAGCAGCCGCGGUAAUACGUAGGUGGCAAGCGUUGUCCGGAAUUAUUGGGCGUAAAGGGCUCGCAGGCGGUUUCUUAAGUCUGAUGUGAAAGCCCCCGGCUCAACCGGGGAGGGUCAUUGGAAACUGGGAAACUUGAGUGCAGAAGAGGAGAGUGGAAUUCCACGUGUAGCGGUGAAAUGCGUAGAGAUGUGGAGGAACACCAGUGGCGAAGGCGACUCUCUGGUCUGUAACUGACGCUGAGGAGCGAAAGCGUGGGGAGCGAACAGGAUUAGAUACCCUGGUAGUCCACGCCGUAAACGAUGAGUGCUAAGUGUUAGGGGGGAUCCGCCCCUUAGUGCUGCAGCUAACGCAUUAAGCACUCCGCCUGGGGAGUACGGUCGCAAGACUGAAACUCAAAGGAAUUGACGGGGGCCCGCACAAGCGGUGGAGCAUGUGGUUUAAUUCGAAGCAACGCGAAGAACCUUACCAGGUCUUGACAUCCUCUGACAACCCUAGAGA
RNAcentral lists this ribosomal RNA (671 nucleotides) under Bacillus sp. (in: firmicutes). RNAcentral's name for it is "bacterial SSU rRNA". It matches the Rfam family "Bacterial small subunit ribosomal RNA", at positions 344 to 1006 of the family's 1533-position model. The record is from RNAcentral. Lineage: Bacteria; Bacillati; Bacillota; Bacilli; Caryophanales; Bacillaceae.